AGCCCCCUCCUCAAGAAAUAUGUGAUGCACGCACGUUGUAGGGCUUAUACCCUUGAUAUCGGCCAAGGUCCAUCCUAUGGCAGAUUUGAACUCCUUCAAGACUCGAACUAGUUUCUCUUCUUCUUGUGCCGUGAGGAAUGAGGAUAUGAUGGUAGGUAGGGUCUCAUUUUCUCCCAAGAAAAUGUACUUCAAAUGGCUUGGUAAUGGUUUGAGUUC
Molecule: long non-coding RNA, 216 nt
Filed under: Malus domestica (apple)
Lineage: Eukaryota; Viridiplantae; Streptophyta; Magnoliopsida; Rosales; Rosaceae
Description: long non-coding RNA (MDOM_LNC019094)
Source: RNAcentral